CAAAAGAUCAUAAUUACUUUUCUACUGCUUUGCUGUUGUAAGAAACUGGCUUCACUGAACCCCACACAGUGACCUCAGGCAGGUCAAGGUAAAAUUUUCAUAAGCAAACCUGAAAUCCAUCCAUAGUUUGGGAAUGCUAAAUAAAUUCAUAUUCAUUCACAGGAGAAAAUGGAUGGACUUGCCAUGUGUGAGACAUGCCAGGACACAGGAGGCCUGGGUGCUUGGGUAUUAACCUGUCCUUGCAGGCUUUCUACAGGCUUGGAGCUGGGGUUGGAGAUCCUGAGUCCCUCCAGGAGGUUGAGGAAAUUUUGGGGGCCAUUCAAGACACUCACAGGAAUGAUGCCAUGCUCAGAAGUCCACUGUGCUUCUGCAUCCUUUGAUUUCAAUCAGGAUUUUCCAGGUUCCCUGCUG
RNAcentral lists this long non-coding RNA (411 nucleotides) under Chloebia gouldiae (Gouldian finch). Its description in RNAcentral is "Erythrura gouldiae (Gouldian finch) lncRNA (ENSEGOG00005007867.1)". The record is from RNAcentral. Lineage: Eukaryota; Metazoa; Chordata; Aves; Passeriformes; Passeridae.